AUGGAGUCUAUAACCUCUGCCAGUAUGUGUAUCAAGUGGAAUGGCCAGAGGUCUAAUUACUUCGAGCCCAAGAAAGGUUUACGUCAAGGUGAUCCAAUGUCGCCGUAUUUGUUUGUUCUUUGUCUGGAGAAGUUGUCCCAUAUAAUCUGUGAAGUUGUGGAUAGAGGGAACUGGAUAGGUCUGAAAGCAGACAGGAAAGGCCCAGUGAUAUCUCAUCUUAUGUUUGCGGACGACUAG
Non-coding RNA from Vicia faba (fava bean), 237 nucleotides. The record is from the annotation of a GenBank genome assembly. NCBI's taxonomy places the organism in Eukaryota, Viridiplantae, Streptophyta, Magnoliopsida, Fabales, Fabaceae.